This 275-nucleotide long non-coding RNA is filed under the name Capsicum annuum. RNAcentral's name for it is "long non-coding RNA (CANN_LNC009361)". The record is from RNAcentral. Lineage: Eukaryota; Viridiplantae; Streptophyta; Magnoliopsida; Solanales; Solanaceae.
UGAAAACGUUAUGAUCUUGAUGAUUAGUACUCCACUUGGCCAAAGCAUCUGCUACUUGAUUUGCCUCCCGAUAACAAUGUUGGAUCCGAUGAUGAUAUAUAUAUCCUUCAUAUGCCAGUCUCCUUCCAAUAUCAUGUUGUCAAUACCACCAUUUCAGCCCCUGUAAUCCGGCCUUUGCUUCAGCAAUGUGGCUACUUUAUGACCCAAUCAAUCUAGAGGCAAAUGCAUGCCAUGAUAAUAUUUCCAUCAGCAUCUCUGCGAAUUCCUUCAGCCCC